UUCAUUGCUUUCUUCCUUUUGUCUUUCUUUUAGAGUAUUCUGUAAGAGAAUGAGUGUUGAAAAUCACUUGUGUUAACCCUUUAUUGACUGAUCUUGUAGUUUACUCUUUUGGAUAUUUGUUAAGUAGAAUGUUUACUCUAAUUUUGUACAUUCUAUUAUACUCUUAUACUCUUCUUGUUGGUAUAGUAAAAUUGCUACUCUCCGCUUGUGAAGGUGGGUUACACUAAUCGAACCACAAUCGAUAUCUUCUUUAUUUUUUUUAAUUGUUGUUAUUAUUUUCUUGAAAUUGUGUUUGUUAUUUUCAUUGUACUUGUGUUUGGCUAAAUUUGACAAUAACCAGGUUCUUGAUCCUAACAAAUUGAUAUUAGAGCCAUGUUUAACUAGGUUAUUUCAUUAGCCAAAAAUGUUGGCAACAAAGACUUGUUUGGAGAAAUUUGACCGAAGUGAAAAUUUCUGGAUGUGAAAAUUAAAGAUGGAAGCUAUUCGAAUUUAGGAUGACUUCGAUAUGGCAUUGCAAGAAAAGGAGAUAAAGCCAAAAAAUAUGUCGCACCAAGAGUUUACCGCUAUUGGGAAAAAAGAAAAAAUCAAUUAUCAUUUUAAAAUCUCAAAUGAGGUUUUAAGUGAAGUAUCUGCAGAAACUACUAUCAGAGGCAUAUGAAAAAAAAUCUAUUUAUGAAAAGAACAGUGAAAACUAGAAUUUUUGUAAAUCAAAAGUUUUACAUAUUUU
Molecule: long non-coding RNA, 727 nt
Filed under: Capsicum annuum
Lineage: Eukaryota; Viridiplantae; Streptophyta; Magnoliopsida; Solanales; Solanaceae
Description: long non-coding RNA (CANN_LNC019608)
Source: RNAcentral